Molecule: long non-coding RNA, 277 nt
Organism: Hevea brasiliensis (rubber tree)
Lineage: Eukaryota; Viridiplantae; Streptophyta; Magnoliopsida; Malpighiales; Euphorbiaceae
Exons: 2
Source: RefSeq, a predicted model, not a curated record
AAACAAAAGUGAUGUUUUCACGCAAUGCAUUUCUAGUAGACACAGUGAAUAAAAGUAAAGGCGCUGUUCUGAAACUGGAUUCCAUUGAAGGUGGAAAGUUAUGGAAAGGAAUUGAUGUUUUGAUAUUCAAUACUUGGCAUUGGUGGCUUCACACUGGAAGAAAACAACCAUGGAAUUUUAUCCAAGAGGGGAACAAUGUGUACCAAGACAUGGAUCGAUUGGUAGCAUAUGAGAAGGCUUUGAAUACUUGGGCUAAAUGGGUUGACACCAAUGUAAA